UGCAGUCGAGCGGACAGAUGGGAGCUUGCUCCCUGAUGUUAGCGGCGGACGGGUGAGUAACACGUGGGUAACCUGCCUGUAAGACUGGGAUAACUCCGGGAAACCGGGGCUAAUACCGGAUGGUUGUUUGAACCGCAUGGUUCAAACAUAAAAGGUGGCUUCGGCUACCACUUACAGAUGGACCCGCGGCGCAUUAGCUAGUUGGUGAGGUAACGGCUCACCAAGGCAACGAUGCGUAGCCGACCUGAGAGGGUGAUCGGCCACACUGGGACUGAGACACGGCCCAGACUCCUACGGGAGGCAGCAGUAGGGAAUCUUCCGCAAUGGACGAAAGUCUGACGGAGCAACGCCGCGUGAGUGAUGAAGGUUUUCGGAUCGUAAAGCUCUGUUGUUAGGGAAGAACAAGUACCGUUCGAAUAGGGCGGUACCUUGACGGUACCUAACCAGAAAGCCACGGCUAACUACGUGCCAGCAGCCGCGGUAAUACGUAGGUGGCAAGCGUUGUCCGGAAUUAUUGGGCGUAAAGGGCUCGCAGGCGGUUUCUUAAGUCUGAUGU
Molecule: ribosomal RNA, 556 nt
Filed under: Bacillus sp. CH33(2014)
Lineage: Bacteria; Bacillati; Bacillota; Bacilli; Caryophanales; Bacillaceae
Description: bacterial SSU rRNA
Rfam family: Bacterial small subunit ribosomal RNA
Source: RNAcentral